AGCCAGAAGGACCUCUUCGCAAUAUAAUUGGUGGCUUUAAGCUGGUGAUUAAAGGUACAUCACGACAAGGUGAGUUCAAUGCACUACACGAUCCUGGAGACUUCAUUUGCAUUCCAUUGUUACUGGAUUCUAGAACAAUAAGCGGUAUCAUCAGAGACAAUCCGGUGGCUGAAAAACUCUUAAUGACAGAUCUUGCCCGUUGACCACCAAGAGUAUUGCUUUUGUGAUUUUUCGACAUGUUUGAAGUAUUUGGUGAAGGUGGUAAAGUGGGACAUAGAUUAGCAGUCACAGAUUUCACCGAACAAUUUAAGGAAGAUAAUAUUAAACUCACCCAUAAUUUAACAGAAUACAAAUUAUUAGUACAUUAAUGUAAAAAAUAAUGUACCUAAGAAAAUUAUUAGGAGAUAAAAUGAAUCAAUUAAGAGGAUAUUUAAUCUGUAUACAUUACUACUAUUAUAUUAUUCAACUCUUCAAAUAUGUUACUGCUAGAAUAUUAUUAAACAAGGUCAAAAUCUAAAUGGUAAAUUAAAAAUCCAGAUGUUUAACCAAUAGUUUUAAAAAAUAAAAUAUUUAAAUUAAAUUAAUAUGAACUUUUUACAGAAUAAUUUGUUUAUUCAAAUUUUGUAUUUAAAACAAUUGUAUAUUAAUUUGUUAAAGUUUCCUAAAGGUUAUUUAGCAUUCAAUUAACAUUUUGCAAAUAAUUAAUUUUCUUAAUACUAAAUAAUAAAUAUAGAUGAUUAAAGAAAAAUAAUUAUUAUUGAUAUGCAUAAAAAAAAUCAGUGAAUUGCGACUAAAUAAUUAAUACCUACUCUAAAAAAUAAAUUUCAAGUGUGCGCAGAUUAGAUAAACAGCUAAUAAAUUAUCACUGAUAAUUUACAUUUGAAAAUAAACUUGAAAUAUACUUUUGUAUGACAAAAUAUGAAUAUUGUCUAAUUUUAAAACACAUGAUAAAAAUUUUAAUUACCAAUAUUUAGAGUACUACGAUCUUUAUAUUUUAAUCUUAGAUAACACCUCUUUAAAAAUAACUAUAACAGUAAAUUAAAUAUUAUAUUAUUUAAUGUGCAUUCACUGUGUGGUUGAUUAAACCAAUGAAGAAAUAAUUCUUCAAUAUUUAAUUAAUUACAAAAUGUGACUACAUCUGCAGAACAGCAAUUUGAAUAUAUUAUACAAACAGGGGGGAGGAAGCAGAAGACAGAGAGAUGGAGGAAAAAUUGUUUUACUCAAUGGUCUUAAAGGCCCGAAAACCAAAAAUAUAUAUUUAUCAAAUCUGAACAGAAUAAUACACACAAGCUAUAUUUUGGAUAGCUUUUAACAAGUAGCGCACUUCUAACAUUUGUAAACUUCAUAAAUGUAAUUGUUAAAUGCUGCAAGUUAAAAGCCUAUAUAAAAUUAUUUUAGUUAUACAUACAUAGUCGUUUAUAAAAAAAUAAAACUUGGUAAUUUCACUGUGAUUUGUAUGAUCUAAGAUAAAAUAAUGGAUCUAUAGGAGUAUUUAUUCAAUACCUUUAUAAAUUAAAUAUAAUGCGGUGAUAUAAAUACUUCAACAGUACCUAUUUAAGAAUAAAAUUCAAAAAGAAUGUUACCCUACUCGUAAAUAUAUUUGAUAAAAAUGUAAACAUUAAAAUUGUUUACGUAAUGUUAGAUUUAGUACCUGGUAAUAUUGAUAAUUGUAUGUAUUUUAAAAUGUAUAUAGAUAGUAUUCGUUCAAAUUUAAAUAUCAAUAAAAUAGUUUUUUUUUUAUUGAUAAAUAAUUUGUUAAUCAAUUUUAGUUUAUUUAUACAUUCAUUAUUCAUUAAAUUAAUAGUUAUUAUAUUGUUAGUACGAUUCCAAUUAUUUUGAUUUUUAAAGUAAGAAAGUUGAGGAAUGAGGGAUCAAUAAAAUUUAAAUAAUAUUUAUUGUGGCAAACAAUCAUAGUUUUUACCAAUCAUAAAUUCAACACUAAAAAUUAUUUAAUAACUGAUUUUUGAGAUAGCAUAAACAUAAAGUACAAUUUAAGUUUAAAAAGUGUCAAACCUUGAAAGAAAUUGAUCAAUUGAACGUUAUAUUAAUUGUGUUGUACAAAAAUUCAAAAUAUACAACAAUGAUAAAGUUAACACUUGGGAAAUGUUUUUUAUCUCAAAGUGAAUCUUUAUUAUUUGAUUAUUUGAAACACCAAAUUUGAUGAUGUUCACAUAAUAUUAUUGUUCAAUGCUUUGUAUUAGGUAAAAAAACAUAAUCAAUUUAAAUGUGAUAAUAAUCAAGACUAGACUAAAAUUAAAUGUACAAAAUGGAUAUUUAAAAAAAAAAAUUGAAUCAAAUUAUACUUGAAAAAGAAGAUAGGAAUCUAAUUCUGUUAUUAAAUAUAAAUUUCAAAAUAAUAAUCCCCAAUUCACAAGAGUAGCAUUUAUUUUUAGAGCAAAAACACUAAUGAUAAAACAAAAACUAACGAUUUUUUUUUUAUGAAUGAUCAUCAACUAAAUUUUUUAGAUAUUUCAUUAUUAAAGACUAUUAUAUUAUAAUAGUCAUGCUUUAAAAAUUUUACGUCUUGAGUAAAUAAUACUCAUUUUAUACAUAGUAUAUAAUAUAUUAUUCUCCCACUUCCAAUCGCAUUUUUAAAGCGAAAAAAUAAAAUAAGAAAGAUGUUUUCUAUAUUUCAUUAUUCAGUACAAGAGUAUGAUAAAUAACAUUAAAGCCUUACGG
Molecule: long non-coding RNA, 2679 nt
Organism: Metopolophium dirhodum (rose-grain aphid)
Lineage: Eukaryota; Metazoa; Arthropoda; Insecta; Hemiptera; Aphididae
Exons: 3
Source: RefSeq, a predicted model, not a curated record